GAAAUGCGAUAAGUAAUGUGAAUUGCAGAAUUCAGCGAAUCAUCGAAUCUUUGAACGCACAUUGCGCCUCCGGGUAUUCCUGGAGGCAUGCCUGUUCGAGCGUCGUUUAGACCAUGAGGCUUUGCCUUGCGAUGACAUUUGGGAGAGACCAUCUGUUCAAACAUAUUGGCAUCUGAAGAUUGGCCGAGUGCAGUAGAAUGCGCUGAAAGGUUCUUCUUACGGAUACGCCCGUAGCUGAUCGUCUUCGGAAACGAAAACGUCACACUUGGUCGACCUCGGAUCAGGCAAGAUUACCCGCUGAACUUAA
RNAcentral lists this unclassified non-coding RNA (307 nucleotides) under uncultured Ascomycota. Its description in RNAcentral is "sequence contains ITS1". The stretch from base 1 to 105 matches the Rfam family "5.8S ribosomal RNA", at positions 50 to 154 of the family's 154-position model. Lineage: Eukaryota; Fungi; Ascomycota. The record is from RNAcentral.